UUUAUGUUUACUUAUGGCCAGUUCAUUUAUAUUUGUAAUGUUUAUUCAAUAUUGUGAUUAAAUAAAACUGAUGUUAAACUGUAAUUUGCUUUUAUUUCUUAAAUUUUUAUUCAAAUUUUCCGCGUUUCCACUUAUCAUUGAUUGGCUCCGCCAUUCCGUAUCAAGCCAAUCCAAAGUUGGUCCACUUAUGCCAGUCUCCCCUUUCAGGGUCUCUACUUCUCUACUUAUCAUAGAAAGUUAGCGCCACUGGUGUCAAAGCAACAAACCGUACAUUUCCUCGUCUGACUUCUCUCGCCCCUUAGGUACCUAUAAGCUUGACGACAAUGACGAACGUUUUUUUCUUAAUAGAAAUUUUCGAUAUUUGGACUUUGCGUAGCGAUAUCUCCUCUCAUAGAAUACAUAGAGGAAAAACAAAAACAGUUUUCUAAUACAAAUCGACUGCAAGCUUUCGAUUGAGUCUAGUUAGAACUCGAUCGGUUUAGCCGUUUCUGAGAUCCAAUAAUCUCUGGUGCUGGGAAGUCGCGUACUCGCGUAAAGAGCACGGUUAGGCUCGCGCUGCGCGUUCACUUGACGCGAGCCACUACCGUGUCUCUUAAUAAUAAACAAUAGAUAGAUUACAAUUAUAUUACUUAAUUUGACUCUUUCGCUACUAAAAGUCAUCUUAUCCAUAAAAGGGGACAAAAUGACGAAAUUGACACGUUCUUAGAAAAUCAAAAUUUCUUAAAAUUCUAAUUUAUUUAACAGCUUUUAAUUUUUAUGAUAAAUACAAAAGGCUUUAUUGAAUUUAAAAAAAUAGAGCAUUAUUUUUACAUUAUCACAGAAAUUAGAAAAAAUCGACAAACCUUAAGAUCGUCUUCUUACUCCUCUUUCUCUUAUGUACAUACAUAUGUAUGGGUGCGAUCCAUUUGACGCUACAAAUGCUUUGAAGCAUUUGAAUGAUCAAUCGGAACAAAAAAUUUUACGAAUUCGACCAAUCAUAGAAUGUUUUGAAGCGUUUGUAUCAAGUGAAUCACACCCAUAGCUUCAAGUAAAGCAUUACUCCUCCCCACUCUAUCAUCUUUAUACGCUUUGCGUGAUCUUUCUCAGUAAACCGAGAAAAGUUUUCAAUUGUUUCGGACGAUCAUACUGUUCUUGACUGCUGUUUUAUAUAAAUCUGUUAUACGCUUAAUCGACAACACGGAAUUUGUAAUUAAUCGUCUAUCUUUUUCGAUUUAAUAAAUCCCGACACAUAAUGAAACUUACGUAAUUAGACAUUUGACCGCAAAAACGUGUCCCGAUUGCCUCUAACUUUGUUUGCACAGACGAAAGCAAUUAAAGUGCAAAAAUACGAUAGCACGUUUAACAUUAUUGCGCACAUACGCAUUGCAGAGAUCAAAAUAGACAAUCUUAAUAUUAUCUUUAUGCUAAAAUCUUUAUUAGGUGGAGUAACUAACUUACUGUUAUUAUUCAAUUAUACUAAUGCCGUAUUGUAAUAUUCACUGCCAAUAUUAAAAAUUUAUAUUUAAUGUUGUUUAUAUUAGAAUCAGUUUUUCAUAAAUUUUUAUUAUUACAAGUUAGAAAAUUUGUACAUGUCAGAAAGUAAAUUUCCUUAUCGUUUGUGGUAAGAAGUUAAAUUUGUCACAUUCUGGUUUUUGCUCAAAAAUUUUUUUUGACGCUUGACGCUCCUAUGCAUAGACACUUUUAUUCUCUGAUAAAAAUAAGUUCGCUUUUUUUCAAAAUUGAUUUCAUCAUUAUACAGAUUUUUAUCGAAGAAAUAAGAAUUACUGUUACAAACAGAAGCCCUAUGAUGUUACAACAAUUACAAUUUACUUGGUGCAUCUAUACAAGCUUAGUUGUAUUAUUCUGUGUUUCUGUACAUACUCAAGAAUUUAAUGGUACUCAAAUAUUGCCAGCUUAUGUUAUUGCCUCAAAAGCCGAUCUUUUGAACUCAACAUGUGGAAAAGAAUUGCAGAACUUCCGAGAUGCUGUUAACCAACGAAUAUUGUGGGGCUUAAAAGUCUUAGAUUCCAGUGGUGGAUUUAAACCAGGUUUUCUUUACGGAAAUAAUUAUUGGUUAGGCAGUCGUAGUCAGUGUCUCGAUACGAUGAAUAGGAGUCCAUUAAGCUUAUCACAGAAAAUAUUAAAUAACACGCAGUAUCGUAAUCCGCAACAAGAAUUUCCACCUUUUGAAAUAAAUUACUUUGUUGCUCAUUUUAAACACAAUAGUACUUUUCAAUAUCAUAUAUUUUUGUACGAGAAUGUGAUAACGCUAGGACUUUGUCUGCCAGCAUCGUGCUCUAUAAGUAAUCUAAGUUUUAUUUUGGAGAAAGUAUUAUAUGAUAAAAGUAUCUUAAUAAAUGAUCUUUAUUCCGCACACCUUUAUCUGAUCCAAGUGAAAGAUCUAAAAAAUAAUGACAUGUGGCUAUCCGGAGGUGCAUUAUUUUUUAUUUGUAUAUCUUUAGGACUUUGUCUUAUGACAACAAUCGGAACGAUAUAUGAUAUGCUUGUGCAUCAAAAAAAUAUUCAAAAAAAGGACAAAAUAAUGACAAGAACAAAUGAUGACAGUAUCAAAGACGUGUCUGAAGAAAGGGAAAUAAAAUUAAAUUCGUCGUUACAUUGGAAAAGUGUAAUUGGAAAAAUACUAAUAUGUUUCUCCGCUUAUACAAAUACGAGAAAAAUAUUUAGUACAAAAUUAGAUGCUGAAACAAUACCAAGCAUUCACUGCUUAAAAUUUUUUAAUAUGUGUGGAAUAAUUGUAAUCCACAGUGUAUAUUUUACAUUGGAUUCUCUUGAUAAUAAAAUAGUGUUGUGGAGAUUUAUUGAAAAUUAUACUGGUUAUUUAUGUGACUUAUUUAUUGGACUAGUAACAGUCGAUAUUUACUUUUUUUCAAGUGGAUUUUUGUUAACUUAUAUGUAUUUAAGAGAUAAAAUAUUGAUUAAACCUAUUCAAUGCAGAGAGAAAUUAACUGAAUUCUUUAUCCGUGUACUAAAAAGAUUUAUUCGGCUAACACCAGCAUACAUGAUGGCGUUAGGAAUAUUACAAUUAAGUUCCGUUUGGUUUGACAAUGUAUCGCAAAUUUAUAUGUACGAGAGGUCGCAUGAAACUUGCCCGAAAUACUGGUGGAGAAAUCUUCUGUACAUAAAUAAUUUCUUCGGUAUCGAUGCAAUGUGCAUGAGUUGGAGCUGGUAUCUAGCUAAUGAAAUGCAAUUUUAUAUUAUCACUGUGGCAAUAUUAAUUUUAUCGACUAUGUACUCUUACGCUGCUGUUCUGAUAUUGGGUACACUUUUAGUAGGCUCCAUCAUUCUUAGCGGUUAUAUAUCAUACAUUUAUGCAUAUGUACCAACAAUAAAUAAAUUGUAUACACUGCAAGAUAUUUUAUACAUCCCACCAUGGAUGAGAAUAAAUUCAUAUAUUAUUGGAAUAAUUGCAGGGUAUACUUUAAUAAAAUUAAACAAUAGUAUCUUCUUGAAAAGAAAGAUUGUAAUUCUCUGUUGGUGCAUUUUUUGUUUUGCCAGCGCUUGUAACAUUUUCGUGUUACUUUACAAGCGACUCGAAUCCGUUUUAGCUACUGCUAUUUAUGUUGCUUUUCAUAAAACAGUUUGGGCCAUAUGUAUAGCAUGGAUUGUAAUAGCGUGUUCUACUAAACACGGAGGUAUCGUUAACAAGUUACUGUCGCUUAAAAUCUGGAUCCCUCUUAGCAGACUCACGUAUUGUGCUUAUCUUUUAAAUCCUAUCGUCAUACGAUCGAUUAGGUAUUAUAGUGAAACAUCAAUUCAUUUUGAACUUAUGUCUGGGAUUGUUCUGUGUGUGGGAUACAUUACGAUCAGUUACCUUUGUGCUUAUAUAUUGUCUUUGAUGGUGGAAAUACCUUGUAUCCUGUUAAUGCGAAUGUUUAUGUCAUACUGUAAUAAGAUACAUAGAGAAGUAUAAUUUGCAGAUAGAUGCUAAACAGAAUUUAGAAAAACUCCAAAACCUAGCCAUAUGCAAGGCGAAAUUUUCACGUGAGUAUUGUCAUUGUCAUCAUCGUCGUCACCCGAUGCCCAGCUAACAUAAUAAGUAUAUAUAUAUAUUGUUCAUAUUUUAUAAUCGGUUCUACGUUGAUACUAGUAAAAUUUUUGGUAUUUACUGCAAAAUAUUCUCAGUAUAUUCUACGAAGUAGAAAAAGGCGGAAAUAGGAAUCUAUUCAGUAUGUUCUCAAUAAAUAGUAGUACGUAUCUCAAAUAUUUUCAAAAUUUACGCAAUAUACUGCUGCAAUAUCCUUUAAACAUUCUUAGUAUCUACAUGUGCUAUAUGGAAAUGUUACACGUAUAUAAUGUCAUUAUGAUUUUGAUUGUGAGAAACAUUGUAAUUUUAAGUAAUUACUAUUUUAGUAUGUAAAGCAGAUUGUAAGAAAGCAAUUUUGUAUUAAAGCAAACUAUUCGGUUUAUACUAAUAAAA
Monomorium pharaonis (pharaoh ant) is the source of this 4417-nucleotide long non-coding RNA. RefSeq annotates it as nose resistant to fluoxetine protein 6. The transcript has 15 exons. NCBI's taxonomy places the organism in Eukaryota, Metazoa, Arthropoda, Insecta, Hymenoptera, Formicidae. The record is from RefSeq and is a predicted model, not a curated record.